RNAcentral lists this ribosomal RNA (774 nucleotides) under uncultured Neocallimastigales. Its description in RNAcentral is "partial large subunit ribosomal RNA". It matches the Rfam family "Eukaryotic large subunit ribosomal RNA", at positions 22 to 629 of the family's 3401-position model. Lineage: Eukaryota; Fungi; Neocallimastigomycota; Neocallimastigomycetes; Neocallimastigales. The record is from RNAcentral.
GUACACGCUGUGACUAGCAUAUCAAUAAGCGGAGGAAAAGAAACUAACAAGGAUUCCCCUAGUAACGGCGAGUGAAGCGGGAAGAGCUCAAAUUUGAAAUCUUAAAGGGUUUCCCUUUACGAAUUGUAGUUUAAAGAAGUGUUUUCUGUUGAGGUUUUGGUAAAAGUUCUUUGGAAUAGGACAUCAUAGAGGGUGAGAAUCCCGUAUUUGACCUUUACUUUCAACUUUGUGAUACACUUUCAAAGAGUCGGAUUGUUUGGGAAUGCAGUCCAAAAUGGGUGGUAAAUUUCAUCUAAAGCUAAAUAUUGGCGAGAGACCGAUAGCGAACAAGUACCGUGAGGGAAAGAUGAAAAGAACUUUGAAAAGAGAGUUAAACAGUACGUGAAAUUGUCAAAAGGGAAGCGUUUGACACCAGUGUUGUUUUUCUGAAAAUCAGUUAAAGAACUGUUUAUGCUAAGCUGUUUAGACUUUAUCAGCUAUCUGUUUAGUUUUGAGCUUUUCUUUAAUGCACUUUUCAGUUAACAAGUCAACAUCAAUUUCUUUUGCUGUAAAAAAGCUUGAGGAAGGUGGCUUGAGAUUCGUCUUAAGUGUUUAUAGCCUCUUGCCUAUGCAGUCGGAGAGAUUGAGGUCUGCAGCGUAGAUCCUUCGGGGCUAAAUGCAUUUGUGCUAAGUUAUAGCAUUUUAUAGACAACUUGUUGACUAUGAUUUGUCUUGUAGCUUACUCGCUUAUGUUAUUUUACCUACGCUUAGGAUGUUGACAGCAGUAUAGACUGU